AGAGUUUGAUCAUGGCUCAGAUUGAACGCUGGCGGCAGGCUUAACACAUGCAAGUCGAACGAUGAUUAUCUAGCUUGCUAGAUAUGAUUAGUGGCGGACGGGUGAGUAACAUUUAGGAAUCUGCCUAGUAGUGGGGGAUAGCUCGGGGAAACUCGAAUUAAUACCGCAUACGACCUACGGGUGAAAGGGGGCGCAAGCUCUUGCUAUUAGAUGAGCCUAAAUCAGAUUAGCUAGUUGGUGGGGUAAAGGCCCACCAAGGCGACGAUCUGUAACUGGUCUGAGAGGAUGAUCAGUCACACCGGAACUGAGACACGGUCCGGACUCCUACGGGAGGCAGCAGUGGGGAAUAUUGGACAAUGGGGGCAACCCUGAUCCAGCCAUGCCGCGUGUGUGAAGAAGGCCUUUUGGUUGUAAAGCACUUUAAGCAGGGAGGAGAGGCUAAUGGUUAAUACCCAUUAGAUUAGACGUUACCUGCAGAAUAAGCACCGGCUAACUCUGUGCCAGCAGCCGCGGUAAUACAGAGGGUGCGAGCGUUAAUCGGAAUUACUGGGCGUAAAGCGAGUGUAGGUGGCUCAUUAAGUCACAUGUGAAAUCCCCGGGCUUAACCUGGGAACUGCAUGUGAUACUGGUGGUGCUAGAAUAUGUGAGAGGGAAGUAGAAUUCCAGGUGUAGCGGUGAAAUGCGUAGAGAUCUGGAGGAAUACCGAUGGCGAAGGCAGCUUCCUGGCAUAAUAUUGACACUGAGAUUCGAAAGCGUGGGUAGCAAACAGGAUUAGAUACCCUGGUAGUCCACGCCGUAAACGAUGUCUACUAGCCGUUGGGGUCCUUGAGACUUUAGUGGCGCAGUUAACGCGAUAAGUAGACCGCCUGGGGAGUACGGCCGCAAGGUUAAAACUCAAAUGAAUUGACGGGGGCCCGCACAAGCGGUGGAGCAUGUGGUUUAAUUCGAUGCAACGCGAAGAACCUUACCUGGUGCUAUGACUCAUAGCUGAGAAUGCUGCUGCAGAGAUGAGAGAGUGCCUUCGGGAACUCACAUACAGGUGCUGCAUGGCUGUCGUCAGCUCGUGUCGUGAGAUGUUGGGUUAAGUCCCGCAACGAGCGCAACCCUUUUCCUUAUUUGCCAGCGGGUUAAGCCGGGAACUUUAAGGAUACUGCCAGUGACAAACUGGAGGAAGGCGGGGACGACGUCAAGUCAUCAUGGCCCUUACGACCAGGGCUACACACGUGCUACAAUGGUAGGUACAGAGGGUUGCUACACAGCGAUGUGAUGCUAAUCUCAAAAAGCCUAUCGUAGUCCGGAUUGGAGUCUGCAACUCGACUCCAUGAAGUCGGAAUCGCUAGUAAUCGCGGAUCAGAAUGCCGCGGUGAAUACGUUCCCGGGCCUUGUACACACCGCCCGUCACACCAUGGGAGUCUAUUGCACCAGAAGUAGGUAGCCUAACGAAAGAGGGCGCUUACCACGGUGUGGUCGAUGACUGGGGUGAAGUCGUAACAAGGUAAC
RNAcentral lists this ribosomal RNA (1500 nucleotides) under uncultured Gammaproteobacteria bacterium. RNAcentral's name for it is "bacterial SSU rRNA". It matches the Rfam family "Bacterial small subunit ribosomal RNA". Lineage: Bacteria; Pseudomonadati; Pseudomonadota; Gammaproteobacteria. The record is from RNAcentral.